AGAUUCAAAUUUGUCUCUGAUUAUUUUGCAUAUUUAUAUUUUUCUCUAAUUUUUAUUUGGCGAGUCUGAGGCUGUCUCACUUUGUAGCCUAAACCAAUGUUAAAUUUUGGGUUCUCUUUCCUCAGGCUUCUAAGCACCAGGCCUAUAGGUGUAGACCAGCACACCCAGUUACUACUGUCAUUUUGGGAUGGAUACUGUCGUCUGGGCUGGCCUCAAAUGGAAGGGGAGCAAGUCAGCUCCACUUGAGCUCCGACUAGCCGGAGAUACAGCUGGGGGUAUCGCCGCGUGCCAUCACACUUAGCUUCCUUUUUAAUUAAAGGUUAAGGAUCUGUGCGGCUGUCUGAAGUAUGAUUUAAAAGGGGCUUUGAUGUUUUUCAGACUUUGCAAAACUAACUUUUUUUUUUUAACUAUUCAGAACAUAGGUAUAUUGAGCUGUUCCUAAAUUCAUGUCCUAAAGGAAAAUAAGACUUGAACAGACCCCAGAAGAUAAGGAUGGAGCAGGAAGCACCUCGUUUGCACAUCUCUGGCAUAAAAAGAUGAGUUGAUUGGCAGUGGCUGCUGGAGAAAGGAUCUGUGCGUCUCAGUGCUGUGUCUACACCGAGAAAGAUGCGGCUGGGACUCUGAAAUAAGCCUCACAUGUACAUUUUCGUCUAAGCAGUGGUUGAGAAAGUCGGGCCUGUGUGUUGAGUUUUCUGACACAGAGGCCAUAUUACAGACGUGAGAUGAUCUU
Molecule: long non-coding RNA, 730 nt
Filed under: Rattus norvegicus (Norway rat)
Lineage: Eukaryota; Metazoa; Chordata; Mammalia; Rodentia; Muridae
Description: long non-coding RNA NONRATT009273
Source: RNAcentral